CUGACAAUGGACCCGCCUUUG
This 21-nucleotide unclassified non-coding RNA is filed under the name Mus musculus (house mouse). RNAcentral's name for it is "oocyte_clustered_small_RNA5362". Lineage: Eukaryota; Metazoa; Chordata; Mammalia; Rodentia; Muridae. The record is from RNAcentral.